Molecule: ribosomal RNA, 253 nt
Filed under: uncultured bacterium
Lineage: Bacteria
Description: partial 16S ribosomal RNA
Rfam family: Bacterial small subunit ribosomal RNA
Source: RNAcentral
UACGGAGGGUGCAAGCGUUGCUCGGAAUUAUUGGGCGUAAAGGGUAGGUAGGUGGUCUUAUUUGUCUGGGGUGAAAGCCUUGGGCUUAACUCAAGAAGUGCCCCAGAAACGGUAAGACUCGAGUCCUGGAGAGGGUCGUGGAAUUCCCGGUGUAGCGGUGAAAUGCGUAGAGAUCGGGAGGAACACCAGAGGCGAAGGCGGCGACCUGGACAGGCACUGACACUCAACUACGAAAGCGUGGGGAGCAAACAGG